AUUGCUCGAAAGUUUUAGGCCGCAGAGUAAAUACAUGCUAUGCGACUCGAUGCAGUGUACACUAAUGACGAAUAAGAGCAAAGUUUCACUGUGGCUUCGUGGGAGUGGUAAUGGUGGCCUUCCUCUUCCCACCAUCCACCCACCUACCACCUUCCAACCCGUGUGGAAUUCCAUAGCUAAUCUUAAGCAGAAUUAGCUUUCCAGUACUCGAUUGGAAACCACUGUAAUCACGUUUGCAUCACUGCAUUUAAUUCCGUAAACGAGAUUUUACCCGUUAUCCAUGAUCAUGAGAUGUAUGAGGUCAGACAGAGAUAUCAAUGAAUUAUUAUUCUUGUGGUCAACAUUGGCAUUCUGGCAUCAUCCUAAUCCUGCUACAUGAUGGAUUUAAAUCCAAGCAUAUUUCGUGACCAUCCCAGUGGUUGACCUAUCCAAUAGAAAAUGGUUUUGGUCGAUAGCGAGAAGGUACAAACAACGUUCAAGGUACCAAGCGUCGCUUGGGGUUGCGCUUGGUUGGCGAUGCGCCACGCAUCAUUUGCCUCGAGAGUUAAUGCGAUAGCCAGACUCGCCGCUAGCCUAUGAGAUUAGAAAGUAUAAUGCUUAUGUUUUAUAGAUUCGUGAAGCCAGCGUGUAGGAUGAUGCUUUUUACAAGCCAAAAGGACAAACUAGAUUUUUCAAAUAAUAAGUAUAAAAGUAUAAAUAUAAGUAUAAAGGAAUAAGUAUAAAAUAUAGAGUAAAAACAUGUGUUCAUCUUCUCAUUGAAAUAGUUCACUCUGUAUACUCUAACAAAUUUCUAUUUUCUCAUUCAGUGAAUGAAAACCCAAAGUUUAUCACCAUAUGGUACUAUCUGUAUUUUUAUUUCAUCUCUAAGUUCCAAACAAAGAAAUUUACAUAGCUACCUACGACAGAUGCGAAAGUGGACACAUGUGCAUAACAGUGCGCUUUGAGCGAUCCUGAGAAUCCCAGAGGAUCCAGUGGUGGUUUUGAAGCUUCCCUUACUUACUAUCGAGAAUGCACUUUUCUUGUUUCGCACUUAAGACGAGCUUCCGGAUGCGAGAGCUACCAUUACUUUCAAUAUGAACGCAUAUCGCCAUGAUAAAUUCUGCAGAACAAGUUGAAUGGGAGUCAACCGAUUCGAUUUGAAUCGAAUGUAAACGUAGAAACGAUCAGCUUAUAUGAAUUUUGAACGUAUUGGUCCAGCUCGAGGAGUUUUACAUUUAGAGAGAGAGAGAGAGAGAGAGAGAGAGAGAAACGAGCGAUUUCAAACUACCUAGGAACUGUAAUUUUACAAAGUGACGUACCAACACUCGACGAUGUACGCCAGUGGAUGAAGGGAUCGGAGCAAGGGUGCACACUGCACAACCCUCAUCAGCAACGGUAUUGCCGCGAUAGCGGAGCUACUCGUCAAAUAUUUACUUUAGAGGAUGCUGGUGCCAGGCAACGGGAGUAUCUCAGUUGUCGAGUAGGAGGAAGGAAGAGAAAGAGGACGUUGUUGGAUAGUCCAAUGUGUUAUACAUAGUUUCGUAAAAACGUUUAGUCAUUCGAUAUUUUAGUAUUGACUAUGAUUUUGUUUUUUUUUGUUUUUUUGUUUUUUUUUUUUUUUUCCAAUUUUCACGUCGAUUACUAUCGUAGAUUUCUCUGACUUCGUUUGUUACUAUGAUAAGAAAGCUAUGCAAACACGAAUAAUACUCUAAAUGAUUAGGAAACCUUGAGAACUAGGUGGAUAGUCGAACAUUAAAUAUUCAGCAACUAUUUUGUUCUCUGUAGACACACCAAAGAAGGACUUUGAAAUGUAGAAAGGUUACUUGUCUGCUUUGAGUAAGGAUGUUGAUUGGAAGGAUCAAAGUCUACGUAAGUACAGGGUAUUUAAUUGUUCGACCAUAGAAGCAGGUACUAAUUCAAGUUUGAAGACUUUCUUUUUUAAUUUUUCCUUCUGUUUCUCUUAAUUACUAAUUUCGUGUUACAUCCCGAACGGUGCGUAUAAAUGUUACACAUUUUUUUUUUUUAUAAAUCUUUAAUCAAAUCUAAAGUCUUACUAUAUUUUUAAAUACAAUU
Vespa velutina is the source of this 2052-nucleotide long non-coding RNA. RefSeq lists it as uncharacterized. The record is from RefSeq and is a predicted model, not a curated record. Lineage: Eukaryota; Metazoa; Arthropoda; Insecta; Hymenoptera; Vespidae. The transcript has 4 exons.